RNAcentral lists this unclassified non-coding RNA (1677 nucleotides) under uncultured fungus. Its description in RNAcentral is "sequence contains 18S rRNA gene, ITS1, 5.8S rRNA gene, ITS2, 28S rRNA gene". The record is from RNAcentral. Lineage: Eukaryota; Fungi.
UCACCGACAUCCGUGCCGUGUUCGGCUCGGCUGACAGGAUGUCGUCGGCUGGGCUCGCCGAGAAGCUGGCCGGGCUCGAGGAGUCACCGUGGGGUGAUUGGUACGGCAAACCGAUCGAUGCCCGAUGGCUAGCCCGCAAGCUCAAGCCGUUUGGGAUCGGUCCCAAGGCGGUACGCAUCGGCGAGACAACACCCCGGGGUUAUGUCGUCGAGGACUUCCAUGAUGUGUGGGCGCGGUACCUAUCUACACCCCCCGCAGAGACCACAACAAGCGCAACAAGUGCAACACCGCAGGUAGCGCUUACCAGGGAUGUUGCGGAUGUUGCGGAUGUUGCGGUUCCUGAGGAUGGGAACGGGCAGCACGCGGUCGACCUGUUCGAGCGCGAGUUCGGUCCGCUGGAGGACGUCGAACCCCACAUCGCCUAUGCCCGAGCUCAGAACCCAGGACUCGGACCGCUUGACCCAGAGGACCGAUGGUGACCCGGAGGGGGGCGGGGCCGCGACGCAACAUCGGCCCCGCGGCAGGACGCUCCGCCAGUCCGCGUUUCUCUCCCCACGCUAUGGGGGGGGUUAACCGCCCUCUCUCUAUUUGGUCGGCGGUAACCCUCGAAAGGAAUCAAGAUGCCCGACACCGACGAUCUCGACAUGUCCCGGUUCCCCUACGAAGCCCGCCAGGCCCUACACGACGAGCUCAUCCUCCCCGAGUCCCUCGACCCCGGCCUCUACGCCAAACCCGACCCCGACAAUGAGCGGAUCGAACUGUUGGACCGUCACGGCACACACCUCACCUGGCUGCCCUGGUACCGGCUCCGCUACCCCGAUCACGUGCAGUUGCAGAAGCUCGCGGCGAAGGUUCUCACCCAGUUCGAGACCGGGCUCGCCGACCAGAUCGUCACAGCCAUCAACCAGGACGAAGUCACGGUGCUGCAGCCACCCGACGACGACUACAUCGGAGUUGUCGUCCAUCUCGGUGACCGCGUCCUGCCGUUGUUCUCGGCGCAUCGCCGGGCUGUCGUGCCCGGCUACCCGCAACCCGGCGAUGACAGCGACGACGGGUAGGGGGCGGGUCGGCGACGCAACGGUGACCAGCCCACAGGAGCCGCUACCCACCGGCGCGAAUAGUUAUAACCAUCGGUUAUCAUGCGGCUGUCAGCUCGGCAUCCAGCCGACGCCAGGUAGGCAAGCGGACUCUGGGGAGUCCCACCCGGCUAGGCCAGUCGCCAUGCAGACGUCGUGACGUUUCCGACGACCUGUAGGUGAUCUAUGCCUGGCCCGCUCUACCGCACCAGCGAAGUGCUGCUCCGCGCCGACCUGGCCGGCCGCACCAUCCACGGGCUCGCCGUCCCCUACGGCGUCGUCGCCGAGGUCUCGGACGGUGGACCCGUCUACCGCGAACAGUUCGCUGUCGGGGCGUUCACCCGCUCGAUCGCCGAACGUGGCCACAAGGUGCGGCUGUUCGUCCAGCACGAGACCCGGCGGCUCCCGAUCGGAAGGCCGUCGACCUCGAGGAACGCUCGGACGGGGUCCACGGCGCCUUCACGGUCGCCCGGACCCGUGACGGCGACGACGCCCUCGAGCUCGUCGACACCGGUGUCGUCGACGGAUUCUCGAUCGGGUUCACCCCCGUGCGGGACCGCCGCGAGGGCGGCGUCACCGUCCGCACCGAAGCCGCCCUCCG